This 360-nucleotide ribosomal RNA is filed under the name uncultured Lachnospiraceae bacterium. RNAcentral describes it as "bacterial SSU rRNA". It matches the Rfam family "Bacterial small subunit ribosomal RNA", at positions 1024 to 1382 of the family's 1533-position model. Lineage: Bacteria; Bacillati; Bacillota; Clostridia; Lachnospirales; Lachnospiraceae. The record is from RNAcentral.
AGGAAGUGAGACAGGUGGUGCAUGGUUGUCGUCAGCUCGUGUCGUGAGAUGUUGGGUUAAGUCCCGCAACGAGCGCAACCCCUAUUGCCAGUUACCAGCGGGUUAUGCCGGGGGACUCUGGUGAGACUGCCGGGGACAACUCGGAGGAAGGUGGGGAUGACGUCAAAUCAUCAUGCCCCUUAUGUCUUGGGCUACACACGUGCUACAAUGGCUGAAACAAAGGGAUGCAACAACGUAAGUUGAAGCGGAUCUCACAAAAACAGUCCCAGUUCGGAUUGUGGGCUGCAACCCGCCCACAUGAAGUCGGAGUUGCUAGUAAUCGCGGAUCAGCAUGCCGCGGUGAAUACGUUCCCAGGCCUU